CGGAAAUGAUCAGGGAGCUGGGACACAUGACUUACGAGCAGGUGGAGAGGAGGGGACCCGGAAGGCUGCAGUGGCAGCAACUGAAGAUAACACACAGAGAGGUACCAUUGUCAGCAUAUUCACUGCAGAAUGAGGAACUGAAGAUGCUGAACUCACUCCCCUUGCUCCCCACAAGUUUUAAGCACGACCUUCUCACUUCUGCUUGGGAUUGCUUGUGCACGGCCCCAGUCACAGCGCCAGCCGUGGCAGAGGUGAUUUUAGUGGAUGUCUCACUCCUGAAUGAAAAGUGAGCACAGCUGCUGCUGGCAUCUCGUGCCUGUAUGCUGCUAGCCUGCGUACUGCAAUGGGACCUGCUGAAGUUAUGGCUGAGUGGUGUGGGAAAGUGUCCUACUGUGAAGAAGAAAUAAGGCAUCCCUCCCUAGAAACCAUGGGCAGAGGAUUGCAGGGUCCCUCCAUGAAAUUUUCAUCAAGAUCUCUCAGGAGGAUUCAAGGGACAUCCCUGUGUGUCCAUAAACAAACUGCUCCACAUAGGCUCCCCUACCUACCUCAAGAGGGGAAUGAAAAGCAGAGAGCAACUCUACCUCUCUUGGUUGUGCCACUGCUGCUUUUAGCACAUGUAAAUUAAUGAAAAGUCAAAAGAUGUGCCCUGAUACUGUGUUGGUUCCAUCCCUGUAACUGAAAGAAUUAGCCACACGCUUACCUGAGGUUACUUUCCCUGCAUCGGGCUUUCCCUUGCUCAAUGAGCAGCCCUGGCUGGACUGCAGUAGAGUCAAAAACAGGUCCUGGCUCACUGUCCAGCUGGAUCCCCUGAUUGCUUGUCCCCCAUAUUCUUCCUCCUCCUCUUCUUUGUCCAUCAUCUUCUCCUCCUCUCUGUUCCCAGCAAGGGGUGGAGGGGGGGACUAUGACUCAGGCUUAUUAGAGGCAGAGGUGCUGACUUUGUGAGGUCCUGGGGGGGUGCUUAACCCCCAACUACAUCCCAAGCCCUACCCCCACU
Long non-coding RNA from Gopherus evgoodei (Goodes thornscrub tortoise), 994 nucleotides. RefSeq lists it as uncharacterized. The transcript has 3 exons. NCBI's taxonomy places the organism in Eukaryota, Metazoa, Chordata, Testudines, Testudinidae. The record is from RefSeq and is a predicted model, not a curated record.